UCAGAUUGAACGCUGGCGGCAGGCCUAACACAUGCAAGUCGAACGGUAACAGGAAGCAGCUUGCUGCUUYGCUGACGAGUGGCGGACGGGUGAGUAAUGUCUGGGAAACUGCCUGAUGGAGGGGGAUAACUACUGGAAACGGUGGCUAAUACCGCAUAACGUCGCAAGACCAAAGAGGGGGACCUUCGGGCCUCUUGCCAUCAGAUGUGCCCAGAUGGGAUUAGCUUGUUGGUGAGGUAACGGCUCACCAAGGCGACGAUCCCUAGCUGGUCUGAGAGGAUGACCAGCCACACUGGAACUGAGACACGGUCCAGACUCCUACGGGAGGCAGCAGUGGGGAAUAUUGCACAAUGGGCGCAAGCCUGAUGCAGCCAUGCCGCGUGUAUGAAGAAGGCCUUCGGGUUGUAAAGUACUUUCAGCGGGGAGGAAGGUGUUG
This 436-nucleotide ribosomal RNA is filed under the name Salmonella enterica subsp. enterica serovar Mbandaka. RNAcentral describes it as "bacterial SSU rRNA". It matches the Rfam family "Bacterial small subunit ribosomal RNA", at positions 24 to 456 of the family's 1533-position model. The record is from RNAcentral. Lineage: Bacteria; Pseudomonadati; Pseudomonadota; Gammaproteobacteria; Enterobacterales; Enterobacteriaceae.